UACAGAGGUCCCGAGCGUUGUUCGGAUUCACUGGGCGUAAAGGGUACCUAGACAGCAUUAUGAGCCUUACAUAAGGGACUAUUUUGCUAGAGUUUUAUAUACAGGAGGAUAUUUGUAGUAUUGAAGGAGUAGAGAUAAAAUUUGUUGAUAUCUUCAGGACGGAUAAAGGUGAAAACAAACCUCUAUGUAUAAACAGACGUUGAGGGACGAAGGCAUUGUGUAACGAACAGG
RNAcentral lists this ribosomal RNA (231 nucleotides) under uncultured bacterium. RNAcentral's name for it is "partial 16S ribosomal RNA". It matches the Rfam family "Bacterial small subunit ribosomal RNA", at positions 524 to 776 of the family's 1533-position model. The record is from RNAcentral.